RNAcentral lists this ribosomal RNA (482 nucleotides) under uncultured bacterium. RNAcentral's name for it is "bacterial SSU rRNA". It matches the Rfam family "Bacterial small subunit ribosomal RNA", at positions 29 to 506 of the family's 1533-position model. The record is from RNAcentral.
ACGAACGCUGGCGGCGUGCUUAACACAUGCAAGUCGAACGAGAAAGUCCUUCGGGAUGAGUAGAGUGGCGCACGGGUGAGUAAUAAAUAGGGACGUGCCUUUGGGUGGGGGAUAACUACGGGAAACUGUAGCUAAUACCGCAUAAGUACGAAAGUAGAAAGUGGGCCUAUGCUUGCAAGCUCACGCCGAGAGAGCGACCUAUUUCCCAUUAGCUAGUUGGUAGGGUAAAGGCCUACCAAGGCGACGAUGGGUAGCUGGUCUGAGAGGACGGCCAGCCACACUGGAACUGAGAAACGGUCCAGACUCCUACGGGAGGCAGCAGUGGGGAAUCUUGCACAAUGGGGGCAACCCUGAUGCAGCAACGCCGCGUGAGUGAAGAAGGCCCUUGGGUCGUAAAGCUCUUUCGACAGGGAAGAAGUGGACGAAGGUUAAGAGCUAUUGUUUGUGACGGUACCUGGAGAAGAAGCACUGGCUAAUUCCGU